RNAcentral lists this ribosomal RNA (253 nucleotides) under uncultured bacterium. RNAcentral's name for it is "partial 16S ribosomal RNA". It matches the Rfam family "Bacterial small subunit ribosomal RNA", at positions 524 to 776 of the family's 1533-position model. The record is from RNAcentral.
UACGAAGGGGGCUAGCGUUGCUCGGAAUCACUGGGCGUAAAGGGUGCGUAGGCGGGUCUUUAAGUCAGGGGUGAAAUCCUGGAGCUCAACUCCAGAACUGCCUUUGAUACUGGAGAGCUUGAGUCCGGGAGAGGUGAGUGGAACUCCGAGUGUAGAGGUGAAAUUCGUAGAUAUUCGGAAGAACACCAGUGGCGAAGGCAGCCUCCUGGGCCAAUACUGACGCUCAGGCACGAAAGCGUGGGGAGCAAACAGG